Molecule: long non-coding RNA, 926 nt
Filed under: Gallus gallus (chicken)
Lineage: Eukaryota; Metazoa; Chordata; Aves; Galliformes; Phasianidae
Source: RNAcentral
CGCAUUCUGUGCAGCCUUGCCAGCUGGUGAGCGGGCAGAGCGGCAGGCCAGAGGUGCGGGUCUGUGGAGCAGCUGCAGCCACAGCAGCGUCAGCUCUGCAUGCCAGAGUUGUCAGCGUUUGGCCUGUCAGUGGGUAAGGAGCGCUGUGUUGCGCACCAGCCUUAGUCAAAGCGCUUGAAAGGGUAAAUUCGGAGCAGGAAAGGGGCAGGCGGAGUUUUGCGAGUAGUUCUUUGCUCCUUUGGAGACCCCAGGCGUGUGGUUUCCGCUCUCGGCAGGGAAGCAGAGAGAAAGAGUGACCUGUACGUCGUGACUGUGCUUAUGUGGUGCGGUGCGUGCUUACGUCUUUUUUCAUGGUUCCGAGGGGGACAAGUCCCCAGGUGUUUCAGCAGGGACACAUGAGUGGCUAACCUUGCCUUCUGUGGCUCAAAGCCACUACUGAAAACGCAGGGUUCACUGCUGCCGCCGCGCCUUCAGCAGCCACAAAAAUGCAGAGCCAGCAAUCUAUCAGCAUGGCUCAAAGGCCCUGAGGGUAUCCGCAGGGAAUGUCUUAUCCCUUCCAUACGUGUGCUUAGGAGGAUCCGCGCGGGUCUGAUUUCUGCACUCUGACAAAUGCUUUCUUGUUGGGGUUUCACCUGGCAGACAGCUAAACGCCAGACAGCUGCUUGCUCACCCUGCCCGUGUGGGUUAUGGGAUGGAACUGGUGAGGCAACGGUGUGAGAAUCCAGAGGGUGAGAUAAAGGUGUUCCGAGAGGUAAAGCAAAAGCUGCAGGCGUAAGCAAAGCAAAGCCAGGAAUUCUUUUGCUGCUCCCCCUGGGCAGGCAGAUAGACGCUCGUCUGCUUUCUGGGGAGCAGGGUUUAGCACGCGUAACAGCUUGCUGGGAAGACAAAGCCAUCACUCCCGAGGUGAACAGCUCCUUCUUCCUUAG